This 447-nucleotide ribosomal RNA is filed under the name uncultured soil bacterium. RNAcentral's name for it is "bacterial SSU rRNA". It matches the Rfam family "Bacterial small subunit ribosomal RNA", at positions 26 to 518 of the family's 1533-position model. The record is from RNAcentral.
AGAGCGAACGCUGGCGGCAGGCCUAACACAUGCAAGUCGAACGGACUCUUCGGAGUUAGUGGCGGACGGGUGAGUAACACGUGGGAACGUGCCUUUAGGUUCGGAAUAGCUCCUGGAAACGGGUGGUAAUGCCGAAUGUGCCCUUCGGGGGAAAGAUUUAUCGCCUUUAGAGCGGCCCGCGUCUGAUUAGCUAGUUGGUGAGGUAAAGGCUCACCAAGGCUACGAUCAGUAGCUGGUCUGAGAGGAUGACCAGCCACAUUGGGACUGAGACACGGCCCAAAUCCUACGGGAGGCAGCAGUGGGGAAUCUUGCGCAAUGGGCAAAGCCUGACGCAGCCAUGCCGCGUGAAUGAUGAAGGUCUUAGGAUUGUAAAAUUCUUUACAGUUAGGGACGAUAAUGACGGUACCUACGAGAAGAACGCCCGGCUAACUUCGUGUCAGCAGCCGC